GUUUCUUCGUUCUCUUGGAUUGUUCCGAUCUUUACUCGUACGUUCUUACAAGAAAUCGCAACGCAAUCAACGUUGAAGAUGAUGAUUGCUAUGAAAUGAAGUAGCGAUGAUACCUAGAAACACAUUUAGACGUGUUAGGUUUAAUAUGAUUUGAUGUUUUUAUGUUUGAACAUGUUGUAUUUGGAUUUUAUGUAAUGUUUGACAAUUUGAAAUUCAUGAAAUGAAAUGGGUUUAUUUAAA
Molecule: long non-coding RNA, 240 nt
Organism: Helianthus annuus (common sunflower)
Lineage: Eukaryota; Viridiplantae; Streptophyta; Magnoliopsida; Asterales; Asteraceae
Exons: 2
Source: RefSeq, a predicted model, not a curated record